AACGAACGCUGGCGGCAGGCUUAACACAUGCAAGUCGAACGGUCCUUCGGGACAGUGGCAGACGGGUGAGUAACGCGUGGGAAUAUACCUUUCGGUACGGAAUAGCUCCGGGAAACUGGAAUUAAUACCGUAUUCGCCCUACGGGGGAAAGAUUUAUCGCCGAAGGAUUAGCCCGCGUUGGAUUAGCUAGUUGGUGGGGUAAUGGCCUACCAAGGCGACGAUCCAUAGCUGGUCUGAGAGGAUGAUCAGCCACACUGGGACUGAGACACGGCCCAGACUCCUACGGGAGGCAGCAGUGGGGAAUAUUGGACAAUGGGGGCAACCCUGAUCCAGCCAUGCCGCGUGAGUGAUGAAGGCCCUAGGGUUGUAAAGCUCUUUCAGCGAGGAGGAUAAUGACGUUACUCGCAGAAGAAGCCCCGGCUAACUUCGUGCCAGCCGCCGCCGUAACAC
This 450-nucleotide ribosomal RNA is filed under the name uncultured bacterium. RNAcentral describes it as "bacterial SSU rRNA". It matches the Rfam family "Bacterial small subunit ribosomal RNA", at positions 29 to 526 of the family's 1533-position model. The record is from RNAcentral.